RNAcentral lists this ribosomal RNA (253 nucleotides) under uncultured bacterium. Its description in RNAcentral is "partial 16S ribosomal RNA". It matches the Rfam family "Bacterial small subunit ribosomal RNA", at positions 524 to 776 of the family's 1533-position model. The record is from RNAcentral.
UACGAGGGGGGCGAGCGCUGUUCGGAAUUAUUGGGCGUAAAGGGUGCGUAGGCGGCCUGACAAGUCUGAUGUGAAAUCCCUGGGCUCAACCCAGGGCCUGCAUCGGAAACUGUCGGGCUUGAGUAUGGGAGAGGUGAGUGGAAUUUCCGGUGUAGCGGUGAAAUGCGUAGAUAUCGGAAGGAACACCUGUGGCGAAAGCGGCUCACUGGACCAUUACUGACGCUGAGGCACGAAAGCUAGGGGAGCAAACAGG